UUCAGGAUGUGCAUCGUGGUUGAUGUAGUUAAAAAUUCUCUCAUCACCGGGUGCACAUUCGGUCA
This is a non-coding RNA of Brugia malayi, 65 nucleotides long. The record is from Rfam. Lineage: Eukaryota; Metazoa; Nematoda; Chromadorea; Rhabditida; Onchocercidae.